Molecule: unclassified non-coding RNA, 194 nt
Filed under: uncultured Omphalina
Lineage: Eukaryota; Fungi; Basidiomycota; Agaricomycetes; Agaricales; Tricholomataceae
Description: sequence contains ITS2
Source: RNAcentral
AAUUCUCAACUAUACAAGUUUUUAUUAACCUGUAUGGCUUGGAUCAUGGGAUUUGCGGGCUUCAUGAGUCAGCUAUCCUUAAAUGCAUUAGCAGAGCUUUUGCCGCUAAUCUCUGGUGUGAUAAUUAUCUACGCCAUUGAGAAGUGACAUAUUGAGGCUUCGCUUCUAAUCGUCUUCACAGACAAUAUUUGACA